RNAcentral lists this ribosomal RNA (119 nucleotides) under Salmo salar (Atlantic salmon). The record is from RNAcentral. Lineage: Eukaryota; Metazoa; Chordata; Actinopteri; Salmoniformes; Salmonidae.
GCUUACAUCCAUACCAGCCUGGGUACGCCCGAUCUCGUCUGAUCUCGGAAGCUAAGCAGGGUCGGGCCUGGUUAGUACUUGGAUGGGAGACCGCCUGGGAAUACCAGGUGCUGUAAGCA